CUUUAGUUCUUCUUCUCCUUUAGUUCUUCUUCUCCUUUAGUUCUUCUUCUUCUCCUUUAGUUCUUCCUCUCUUCUCCUUUAGUUCAUCCUCUCUUCUCAUUUAGUUCAUCCCCUCUUCUCCUUUAGUUCUUCUUCUUCUCCUUUAGUUCUUCCUCUCUUCUCCUUUAGUUCAUCCUCUCUUCUUUAGUUCUUCUUCUCCUUUAGUUCUUCCUCUCUUCUCCUUUAGUUCUUCUUCUCCUUUAGUUCUUCUUCUUUUCUCCUUUAGUUCUUCUUCUCCUUUAGUUCUUCUUCUUCUCCUUUAGUUCUUCCUCUCUUCUCCUUUAGUUCAUCCUCUCUUCUCCUUUAGUUCUUCCGAUCUUCUCCUUUAGUUCAUCCCCUCUUCUCCUUUAGUUCUUCUUCUUCUCCUUUUGUUCUUCCUCUCUUCUCCUUUAGUUCUUCUUCUCCUUUAGUUCUUCUUCUCCUUUAGUUCUUCUUCUCCUUUAGUUCUUCCUCUCUUCUCCUUUAGUUCAUCCUCUCUUCUCAUUUAGUUCAUCCCCUCUUCUCCUUAAGUUCUUCUUCUUCUCCUUUAGUUCUUCCUCUCUUCUCCUUUAGUUCAUCCUCUCUUCUUUAGUUCUUCUUCUCCUUUAGUUCUUCCUCUCUUCUCCUUUAGUUCUUCCUCUAUUCUCUUUUAGUUCUUCUUCUCCUUUAGUUCCUCCUCUCUUCUGUAGUUCUUCUUCUCCUUUAGUUCAUCCCAUCUUCUCCUUUAAUUCUUCCUCUCUUCUUUAGUUCAUCAUCUCUUCUCCUUUAGUUCUUCUUCUUCUCCUUUAGCUCUUCCUCUCUUCUUUAGUUCUUCUUCUCCUUUAGUUCAUCCCCUCUUCUCCUUUAGUUCUUCCUCUCUUCUCCUUUAGUUCUUCUUCUUCUCCUUAAGUUCUUCCUCUCUUAUCUAUUCUUAUUCUUCUCCUUUAGUUCUUCCUCUCUUCUCCUUUAGUUCAUCCCCUCUUCUCCUUUAGUUUUUCCUCUCUUCUCCUUUAGUUCUUCUUCUUCUCCUUUAGUUCUUCUUCUUCUCCUUUAGUUCUUCCUCUCUUCUCCUUUAGUUCUUCUUCUCCUUUAGUUCAUCCCCUCUUCUCCUUUAGUUCUUCCUCUCUUCUCCUUUAGUUCUUCUUCUUCUCCUUUAGUUCUUCCUCUCUUCUCUUUUAGUUCUUCUUCUCCUUUAGUUCCUCCUCUCUUCUGUAGUUCUUAUUCUCCUUUAGUUCAUCCCAUCUUCUCCUUUAAUUCUUCCUCUCUUCUUUAGUUCAUCAUCUCUUCUCCUUUAGUUCUUCUUCUUCU
This 1305-nucleotide long non-coding RNA is filed under the name Salmo salar (Atlantic salmon). RNAcentral describes it as "lncRNA (ENSSSAG00000113812.1)". The record is from RNAcentral. Lineage: Eukaryota; Metazoa; Chordata; Actinopteri; Salmoniformes; Salmonidae.